RNAcentral lists this ribosomal RNA (586 nucleotides) under uncultured bacterium. RNAcentral's name for it is "partial 16S ribosomal RNA". It matches the Rfam family "Bacterial small subunit ribosomal RNA", at positions 355 to 1375 of the family's 1533-position model. The record is from RNAcentral.
UGGGGAAUUUUGGACAAUGGGCGAAAGCCUGAUCCAGCAAUGCCGCGUGUGUGAAGAAGGCCUUCGGGUUGUAAAGCACUUUUGUCCGGAAAGAAAUCCUUGGCUCUAAUACAGUCGGGGGAUGACGGUACCGGAAGAAUAAGCACCGGCUAACUACGUGCCAGCAGCCGCGGUAAUACGUAGGGUGCAAGCGUUAAUCGGAAUUACUGGGCGUAAAGCGUGCGCAGGCGGUUUGCUAAGACCGAUGUGAAAUCCCCGGGCUCAACCUGGGAACUGCAUUGGUGACUGGCAGGCUAGAGUAUGGCAGAGGGGGGUAGAAUUCCACGUGUAGCAGUGAAAUGCGUAGAGAUGUGGAGGAAUACCGAUGGCGAAGGCAGCCCCCUGGGCCAAUACUGACGCUCAUGCACGAAAGCGUGGGGAGCAAACAGGAUUAGAUACCCUGGUAGUCCACGCCCUAAAACGAUGUCGACUAGUUGUUGGGGAUUCAUUUCCUUAGUAACGUAGCUAACGCGUGAAGUUGACCGCCUGGGGAGUACGGUCGCAAGAUUAAAACUCAAAGGAAUUGACGGGGUCAUAGCUGUUUCCU